This 588-nucleotide ribosomal RNA is filed under the name uncultured bacterium. Its description in RNAcentral is "partial 16S ribosomal RNA". It matches the Rfam family "Bacterial small subunit ribosomal RNA", at positions 355 to 1375 of the family's 1533-position model. The record is from RNAcentral.
UGGGGAAUUUUGGACAAUGGGCGAAAGCCUGAUCCAGCAAUGCCGCGUGUGUGAAGAAGGCCUUCGGGUUGUAAAGCACUUUUGUCCGGAAAGAAAUCCUUGGCUCUAAUACAGUCGGGGGAUGACGGUACCGGAAGAAUAGGCACCGGCUAACUACGUGCCAGCAGCCGCGGUAAUACGUAGGGUGCAAGCGUUAAUCGGAAUUACUGGGCGUAAAGCGUGCGCAGGCGGUUUGCUAAGACCGAUGUGAAAUCCCCGGGCUCAACCUGGGAACUGCAUUGGUGACUGGCAGGCUAGAGUAUGGCAGAGGGGGGUAGAAUUCCACGUGUAGCAGUGAAAUGCGUAGAGAUGUGGAGGAAUACCGAUGGCGAAGGCAGCCCCCUGGGCCAAUACUGACGCUCAUGCACGAAAGCGUGGGGAGCAAAACAGGAUUAGAUACCCCUGGUAGUCCACGCCCUAAAACGAUGUCAACUAGUUGUUGGGGAUUCAUUUCCUUAGUAACGUAGCUAACGCGUGAAGUUGACCGCCUGGGGAGUACGGUCGCAAGAUUAAAACUCAAAUGAAUUGACGGGGUCAUAGCUGUUUCCU